GAUAAGAACGUAGCGAAAUGCGAUACGUAAUGUGAAUUGCAGAAUUCAGUGAAUCAUCGAAUCUUUGAACGCACAUUGCGCCCGCUAGUAUUCUGGCGGGCAUGCCUGUCCGAGCGUCAUUUCAACCCAUCAAGCUUAGCGCUUGUGUUGGAGCCCUGCGGCCGCCGCAGCCUCCUAAAAUCAGUGGCGGGCUCGCUAUCACGCUGAGUGCAGUAGUAUUCUUCUCACUCCUGUGGUGUAGCGGGUAACCAGCCGUAAACCCCCCCAUCUAUAAAGGUUGACCUCGGAUCAGGUAGGAAUACCCGCUGAACUUAAGCAUAUCAAUAAGCGGAGGA
This 335-nucleotide unclassified non-coding RNA is filed under the name soil metagenome. Its description in RNAcentral is "partial contains 5.8S ribosomal RNA, internal transcribed spacer 2, and large subunit ribosomal RNA". The stretch from base 4 to 119 matches the Rfam family "5.8S ribosomal RNA", at positions 39 to 154 of the family's 154-position model. The record is from RNAcentral.